Molecule: ribosomal RNA, 301 nt
Filed under: uncultured bacterium
Lineage: Bacteria
Description: partial 16S ribosomal RNA
Rfam family: Bacterial small subunit ribosomal RNA
Source: RNAcentral
CAGUCGCCGCGGGAAUACAGAGGGUGCGAGCGUUAAUCGGAUUUACUGGGCGUAAAGCGUGCGUAGGCGGCUAAUUGAGUCGGAUGUGAAAUCCCCGAGCUUAACUUAGGAAUUGCAUUCGAUACUGGGAAGCUAGAGUAUGGGAGAGGAUGGUAGAAUUCCAGGUGUAGCGGUGAAAUGCGUAGAGAUCUGGAGGAAUACCGAUGGCGAAGGCAGCCAUCUGGCCUAAUACUGACGCUGAGGUACGAAAGCAUGGGGAGCAAACAGGAUUAGAUACCCCGGUAGUCCCUGUCUCUUAUAA